ACGAUAUGCUUUGGGGAGCUGUAAGUAAGCUUUGAUCCAGAGAUUUCCGAAUGGGGAAACCCAGCAUGAGUUAUGUCAUGUUAUCGAUAUGUGAAUACAUAGCAUAUCAGAAGGCACACCCGGAGAACUGAAACAUCUUAGUACCCGGAGGAAGAGAAAGAAAAUUCGAUUCCCUUAGUAGCGGCGAGCGAAACGGGAAGAGCCCAAACCAACAAGCUUGCUUGUUGGGGUUGUAGGACACUCUAUACGGAGUUACAAAGGACGACAUUAGACGAAUCAUCUGGAAAGAUGAAUCAAAGAAGGUAAUAAUCCUGUAGUCGAAAAUGUUGUCUCUCUUGAGUGGAUCCUGAGUACGACGGAGCACGUGAAAUUCCGUCGGAAUCUGGGAGGACCAUCUCCUAAGGCUAAAUACUCUCUAGUGACCGAUAGUGAACCAGUACCGUGAGGGAAAGGUGAAAAGCACCCCGGAAGGGGAGUGAAAUAGAACCUGAAACCGUGUGCUUACAAGUAGUCAGAGCCCGUUAAUGGGUGAUGGCGUGCCUUUUGUAGAAUGAACCGGCGAGUUACGAUUUGAUGCAAGGUUAAGCAGUAAAUGUGGAGCCGUAGCGAAAGCGAGUCUGAAUAGGGCGUUUAGUAUUUGGUCGUAGACCCGAAACCAGGUGAUCUACCCUUGGUCAGGUUGAAGUUCAGGUAACACUGAAUGGAGGACCGAACCGACUUACGUUGAAAAGUGAGCGGAUGAACUGAGGGUAGCGGAGAAAUUCCAAUCGAACCUGGAGAUAGCUGGUUCUCUCCGAAAUAGCUUUAGGGCUAGCCUCAAGUGAUGAUUAUUGGAGGUAGAGCACUGUUUGGACGAGGGGCCCCUCUCGGGUUACCGAAUUCAGACAAACUCCGAAUGCCAAUUAAUUUAACUUGGGAGUCAGAACAUGGGUGAUAAGGUCCGUGUUCGAAAGGGAAACAGCCCAGACCACCAGCUAAGGUCCCAAAAUAUAUGUUAAGUGGAAAAGGAUGUGGCGUUGCCCAGACAACUAGGAUGUUGGCUUAGAAGCAGCCAUCAUUUAAAGAGUGCGUAAUAGCUCACUAGUCGAGUGACACUGCGCCGAAAAUGUACCGGGGCUAAACAUAUUACCGAAGCUGUGGAUUGUCCUUUGGACAAUGGUAGGAGAGCGUUCUAAGGGCGUUGAAGCAUGAUCGUAAGGACAUGUGGAGCGCUUAGAAGUGAGAAUGCCGGUGUGAGUAGCGAAAGACGGGUGAGAAUCCCGUCCACCGAUUGACUAAGGUUUCCAGAGGAAGGCUCGUCCGCUCUGGGUUAGUCGGGUCCUAAGCUGAGGCCGACAGGCGUAGGCGAUGGAUAACAGGUUGAUAUUCCUGUACCACCUAUAAUCGUUUUAAUCGAUGGGGGGACGCAGUAGGAUAGGCGAAGCGUGCGAUUGGAUUGCACGUCUAAGCAGUAAGGCUGAGUAUUAGGCAAAUCCGGUACUCGUUAAGGCUGAGCUGUGAUGGGGAGAAGACAUUGUGUCUUCGAGUCGUUGAUUUCACACUGCCGAGAAAAGCCUCUAGAUAGAAAAUAGGUGCCCGUACCGCAAACCGACACAGGUAGUCAAGAUGAGAAUUCUAAGGUGAGCGAGCGAACUCUCGUUAAGGAACUCGGCAAAAUGACCCCGUAACUUCGGGAGAAGGGGUGCUCUUUAGGGUUAACGCCCAGAAGAGCCGCAGUGAAUAGGCCCAAGCGACUGUUUAUCAAAAACACAGGUCUCUGCUAAACCGUAAGGUGAUGUAUAGGGGCUGACGCCUGCCCGGUGCUGGAAGGUUAAGAGGAGUGGUUAGCUUCUGCGAAGCUACGAAUCGAAGCCCCAGUAAACGGCGGCCGUAACUAUAACGGUCCUAAGGUAGCGAAAUUCCUUGUCGGGUAAGUUCCGACCCGCACGAAAGGCGUAACGAUUUGGGCACUGUCUCAACGAGAGACUCGGUGAAAUCAUAGUACCUGUGAAGAUGCAGGUUACCCGCGACAGGACGGAAAGACCCCGUGGAGCUUUACUGUAGCCUGAUAUUGAAAUUCGGCACAGCUUGUACAGGAUAGGUAGGAGCCUUUGAAACGUGAGCGCUAGCUUACGUGGAGGCGCUGGUGGGAUACUACCCUAGCUGUGUUGGCUUUCUAACCCGCACCACUUAUCGUGGUGGGAGACAGUGUCAGGCGGGCAGUUUGACUGGGGCGGUCGCCUCCUAAAAGGUAACGGAGGCGCUCAAAGGUUCCCUCAGAAUGGUUGGAAAUCAUUCAUAGAGUGUAAAGGCAUAAGGGAGCUUGACUGCGAGACCUACAAGUCGAGCAGGGUCGAAAGACGGACUUAGUGAUCCGGUGGUUCCGCAUGGAAGGGCCAUCGCUCAACGGAUAAAAGCUACCCCGGGGAUAACAGGCUUAUCUCCCCCAAGAGUUCACAUCGACGGGGAGGUUUGGCACCUCGAUGUCGGCUCAUCGCAUCCUGGGGCUGUAGUCGGUCCCAAGGGUUGGGCUGUUCGCCCAUUAAAGCGGUACGCGAGCUGGGUUCAGAACGUCGUGAGACAGUUCGGUCCCUAUCCGUCGUGGGCGUAGGAAAUUUGAGAGGAGCUGUCCUUAGUACGAGAGGACCGGGAUGGACAUACCUCUGGUGUACCAGUUGUCGUGCCAACGGCAUAGCUGGGUAGCUAUGUGUGGACGGGAUAAGUGCUGAAAGCAUCUAAGCAUGAAGCCCCCCUCAAGAUGAGAUUUCCCAACUUCGGUUAUAAGAUCCCUCAAAGAUGAUGAGGUUAAUAGGUUCGAGGUGGAAGNNNNNNNNAUGGUGACAUGUGGAGCUGACGAAUACUAAUCGAUCGAAGACUUAAUCAAAUU
This 2866-nucleotide ribosomal RNA is filed under the name Staphylococcus aureus. RNAcentral describes it as "partial 23S ribosomal RNA". It matches the Rfam family "Bacterial large subunit ribosomal RNA". Lineage: Bacteria; Bacillati; Bacillota; Bacilli; Caryophanales; Staphylococcaceae. The record is from RNAcentral.